RNAcentral lists this long non-coding RNA (2204 nucleotides) under Heterocephalus glaber (naked mole-rat). RNAcentral's name for it is "lncRNA (ENSHGLG00000033009.1)". The record is from RNAcentral. Lineage: Eukaryota; Metazoa; Chordata; Mammalia; Rodentia; Bathyergidae.
GUCUUUUUAAAACAUCUAGCCAUUUAGUUACAUUUUCAGCAUAUCAAAAUACAUUUAUUUUUUUCCGUAACUGUGUAUUUAGGGGAAGAGAAGAUUUCUUAUAAUUGAAAUCAUUGAAGGCUAAAUUUUGAUUCCCUGGGCACAUUCUCUUAACUGUGGCAGAGGUACCUGUCAUGUGAUUUACACAGUGAAUGGCCCUGCUUUUGGAGCAAGUUAAUGUUAUAAUAUCCCCAUUUAUAUUCAGAACAGUCAACACUUUUGAGCUCUCAGAAUAAUAAAAGCACCUGCAUUUAAUAUACAUGGAAGAAUGGAAAGGCAAAUAGCAGAUAAGGCACAAUCAGACAUCUCCAAAUUUUAGUGAAAUCUGCUCGACACUUCUGAAUGCCUCUACGUCUCCAUGAUGGAUCAGAAAUAUGCAUAUCUCUACAAGGAUAGCAUGGAAGAAAAGAACUGUCUCUAGGGGCACACAGGUGGCUGCUCUGUGGACAUGUGCCAUCCGAACACGUUCCAGACAACAUAAGCUAAUUCUGGCUAGAAUUUAUUGAUGAAGACUCAGAUCUUGAAAUCUGAAUUUAAAACAACCAGCUUUUGGAUGAGCCAGACCAAGGACCCCCAGGGACCUUAGAAGCAGAAGAUAAUGGACCUUUUCUAUAGAACAUUGGACUCUUUGUUUCUCACCUUUAGUGGCCUGAUGUCAAAUGGGUCAUCUUAGUCAAGAAGGCAGGCAGGACCAUGUAUUACAAGCCUAAUUGCUGGGGAUUUUUCUGUAUCUGAAGCAAUUAUAGGCAAAGGGAAUGUUUAGAAGUAAUAAAAUUUUAAGACUUUAAGGGUGAAUGACAGAUAAACUACACAUAUUUAAAGUAUAUAAUUUGGUAUAUUUUGACAUGUGUGUAUACACACCAGGAAACUAUCACCAUAAUGAAGAAAAUGAAGAUAUCCAUAUCUCUGCUGGUUUCCUUUCGUCCUUUUUUCUUUCUUCUCUCUCAGUCCUGUGUCCCUCUUCCUGUACCCAGGCAUCAGCUGACCUGCUUCUGUCAUUGUGGAUUAGUUUGCACUUUCUAGAAUUUUACUUAAAUGGGAUCAUAAGUUCUUUUCUGACUUUUUUCAUUCAGUGUAAUUAUUUUGAGACUUAUCCAUGCUGUAGUAUUUAUCAGUACCUUAUUGCUUUUUAUGGGUGAUUAAUGUUCCAUUGGCUGGCUAUACUAUAGUUUAUUCAUUAAGCUGUUGAUGACAUUAGGGUUCUAGUUUGAGGCUAUUACUGAUAAAGUUGGUAUGAAUAUUUACAUGCAAGUGUUUUCUUUUAGACAUUUGUUUUCAUUUCUCUUGAGUAAAACCUAGGAGUAGAAUGGCCUGGUAAUCCUGUAGGUGGGUGUUUUACUUUUUCAUCAACUGCCAAGAAGUUUUUCAAAGUGGUUGUAUAAUUUUCUAUUCCUACUGGCAACAUGUGAGAGUUCUGGUUCUCUAUCAUCACUAGCACUUGGUUAUAUCCAGGACUUACUUUUUUUUUAUUAAGUUUAUUGGUACAUUUUAGGUAUACAAUACAGUUACUUUCACCAUUGGUAUCUUGUACCUUUACAUGAUAUAUAUUGGUUCUUAUUUUUUCCCCCUUCUCCUGCCAUCCCUUCAACCCCUCCACCCUUCCCUAUUUACAAAGACUUUGUUUCCAUUUUUUCAUUUUCUCAUAAUUUUUCCUUUCCCUUCUUUCCUUUCCCCUACCCCUCCCACUUUCCCUUCCUCCUUUGAACCUUUUCUUCCUAUUUCACGUUAUCAAUCAUACAUUUUGAUCCUUAUUUAUACUUUUAGUUUCUCACACCAGAGAAACUAUUUGGUAUUUACAUAUGCAUGCCCUGUUUAUUUCACUUAAGAGUUGCAUAUCGAGGCCAUACUUUAAGUGAAAUAAAUGGGACACAUGUGUAAAUAGCGAAUAGUUUCUGUAGUGUGAGAAACUGAUAGUGUAAAUAAGAGUUAAAAUGAUUAAAAUGAAUAAUUGAUAAUUUGAAAUAGGAAGAAAGGUCCAAAGACGAAGGAGUGAAGGGAGGGGAAGGGGAAAAGAAAAGAGGGAAAGGAAAAACUAUGAGAAAAGAAAAAAAAAUGGAAAUGAAAUCUAUGUAAAUAGGGAAGGGCGGAACGGGUGAAGGGCGCACUAGUAAUGGGGAAAAAAAAUAAGAACCAAGAUACAUCAUGUACAGAUACAAACACCCAAU